Molecule: long non-coding RNA, 604 nt
Organism: Planococcus citri (citrus mealybug)
Lineage: Eukaryota; Metazoa; Arthropoda; Insecta; Hemiptera; Pseudococcidae
Exons: 3
Source: RefSeq, a predicted model, not a curated record
GAAGAAGACGAAUCAGAGAAACUCAAAGAGCCCCUACUACGAAUACCAUUCGAAAAUGGGAAAAUUAUGAAAGAACUGCCAGUCCAUGAAAAUCCAACUGUGUUCUUAUUUCCUGGCGUAGAAGGCAUUGCGGCAUUUAUGGAACCACUAGCUAAGAAUCUCAACAUUCAAGUUCUAUGUUUCCAAUACCACAAUACCAUCGAGUCAGCAGAAUUCUUCCUUACAAAAUUAAGAGAUGAAUUUGCAGAAAUUAUUCUAGAAAAACUCGGAACAGCUCAACAAUUUUUCAUCAUUGGAUACAGUCUGGGAGGUUUACUCGCGAUAGAAGUUGCCAGUGUUUUGGAGGAAAAUGGUAAAAAAGGGCACAUAUGGUUGAUAGAUUCGACGCCAGCUUACGUAAUUCGGAAAGCAAAAGCAUACGAAAGCCAGAAACCUAACUCGAGUGAAGAUAAAAGUAGACAUAAAGCGAUUAACAACGAGCAAUACUCGGUAUUACUUGAUGAAGAGAAUAGUAGGUUGAGUUUUCUGAUCAAAAACGUAUUAAGUCACAAGUUUUCUCACAAUCUUCUCGAGUCAUCGUGCACUUUAGUCAGAAGUGCAGAGU